UACGUAGGGUGCGAGCGUUAAUCGGAAUUACUGGGCGUAAAGCGUGCGCAGGCGGUUUUGCAAGUCGGAUGUGAAAUCCCCGGGCUUAACCUGGGAAUGGCAUUUGGGACUGCAAGGCUGGAGUGCGGCAGAGGAGACUGGAAUUCCUGGUGUAGCAGUGAAAUGCGUAGAUAUCAGGAGGAACACCGAUGGCGAAGGCAGGUCUCUGGGCUGACACUGACGCUCAUGCACGAAAGCGUGGGGAGCAAACAGG
RNAcentral lists this ribosomal RNA (253 nucleotides) under uncultured bacterium. RNAcentral's name for it is "partial 16S ribosomal RNA". It matches the Rfam family "Bacterial small subunit ribosomal RNA", at positions 524 to 776 of the family's 1533-position model. The record is from RNAcentral.